GUGACGUCAGGGCGUUCUAAAAAAGAACCAAGAAAACAGUCGGCAUUGAGAAAAAUAGAUACACUCUGAUCGUAUUUAAAGGGGAAGCUCUAGGCACCCGAGUCAGACCCAGCUAUACAAACAAAGGCAGAGAGUGACUGCAGAGAAAAGCCUGUCCAGCAAACAUGGUGUCGCCCGUGACAGUGGUGAAGAGUGAAGGCCCCAAGCUUGUGCCCUUCUUCAAAGCCACUUGUGUCUAUUUCGUCCUCUGGCUGCCGACUUCCAGCCCUUCCUGGUUCAGUGCCCUCAUCAAGUGUCUACCAAUCUUCUGCUUGUGGGUUUUCCUGCUGGCACAUGGGAUCAAUUUCCUGAUGGCCCAUCGCAGCGCCUGUCGAAUCUUUGCUGGUUUGAUAUUCUCAGCUAUAGGAGAUGCCUUCCUCAUCUGGCAAGAGCAAGGCUACUUUGUUCAUGGUUUGUUGAUGUUUGCCAUCACCCACAUCCUGUAUUCCUCAGCAUUUGGGAUGAAGCCUUUAGACCUGAAAGCUGGCCUUGCAAUGGUCCUGGUGUCCAGUUUCUGCUACACCUUUCUGUAUUCCUACCUCUCGGGCCCAUUUACCUACCUAGUAGCUGUCUACGUUGCCUUGAUUGGCUUCAUGGGUUGGCGGGCCAUGGCCGGUGUGCAGCUCUGCAAUGAUCUUUGGACUUGGACCAAGCUUUCAGCUUGUAUUGGCUCAGUGCUCUUUAUGGUAUCAGAUCUGACCAUUGCGGUCAACAAGUUCUGCUUCCCUGUGCCCUACUCACGGGUUAUCAUCAUGGCCACUUACUAUGCAGCUCAGAUGCUCAUUGCGCUCUCUGCUGUGGAGAGCAGGGAUGAAGAAGUCUUCAGAAAGAGGAAGUAGAUGGUGAUGCCAGCAGCCUCACAAACUUUACUGGGGAUACCAUUGCUGCAUUCAUCCCUGGGGAGGUUCCUGACUCUCUAGGUGAAAUGAGUCGUCGCAGAUCCUGCUUCCUUGAAGCAUUAUAUUUAGUCUUUAGCUGGCUCUCCUCCAAUCCAGGUUGCUGGAGUGUGGAUGCCACACUGAAAUUUUAGAUUGUUCCUACAGACCUACUAGCUGACCUUUUUCAUCUUGAAAGCUUUGGAAGGCCUCUUUAUACUUCACUGUAUUUGUAUAAUACUGAAGCUGGUGCUGAGCAUUCCAGAAGAAGGCUCAUUUCAGGACAAUGUUUUUGGGGGGGGAUGGUUAAGCGGGGGGGGGGGGGAGUGUAGGCAGUAUCUUGGGGUUUGGGAACCUUGCCUUCAACGCUGGAUGUGCAAAGUAAUGUGAAAAUAUGCCUGAUCCAGUCCCCACUUCUGCGUGCAUUACAAUAGAACUGUGAAAUGAUUGUGGGUCUGCCCAAGGAAUCCCCAGGCUCUGAAGAAUACACAGGAGCACUUGCAGAAGCUGUAUGGAUAGUAAAGCUUGUGCUAUCCCUGUACGAAGCUGAUCUGAAUUCCAGAGUCAUGCAACCAUGUAUUUAUAUGCCAUUCAAAGCCCUUCUUAUGAAUGUGAAUCCUGUGGAGCAUCUGUUGUUCUGCAGACUUAAAAGCAACAACAAAAUGCAACAAAAUCAAAAUGCAACAACUUUCUCAGGCUUUGGGAAAAGAAAGGAGUUUUUUUUCUCCAAGCAGGUAACAAUAUACAGCUAAUCAACCUUUUUAGCAGACAGUCCCCAGCACGCAUAAUCUCAGGCUGGAGCAUCAACACGUGGAACAGAAGAAGAAUGUUUUCAACAUCACAGUGUUCUCAAAGUCUAGAUCACCAGCUGCUUUGUUGGCUGAAUUUGUUGGCCAAGGAAACCACUUGCUUGUCAGACCUGCUGUCAUUUCUGUGUGAGGGUCUGGGAAGAACUUGGAUUAGUGACAAUGUCUGGAACCAUUUUCUUGACUUCUUCUCUCCCUAUCUCGCAAACCGCCAAACAAAGCCAGUAUUGAGGCGUGGGCAGUGGAGUACACAAUAUGCUACAGGUGCUCUGGUCACUGUGAACUAGGGCCAUGUUAUGGAUCCCUAACAAGCAUUUGCAAGUCAUUGUUGCUACUAUGAACUUGGUGGAUUAUCAGGGAACAAUAUUUAUUUCAAAUGAAGUUGAUAGGCUUCCAUGUAUUUGUGCAUGUGUAUGUACCAGUCUCUGUGCAUAUGUGCACAUUACUACGAAGUAACUUUCCCACCACCUGCAGCCAGAACUGUAGAGACUGUGGGUGCCUUCAUACCAACAGCUGCAAUGCGGGUCAUGUGACAAGUACAGCCUAUCACCAAAGUGCUGAGACACCAUUCGAUAUACCACUCUCCCGAGCCAUUUAUCCAUUUUCAGUGGGCAGCCCUGAGCCAUUAUAGAGCUAGCAGAGGGGAAGAGGUUUCCCAACAGCUUCCCAAGAUUUUGGGUGUCAUGUUGCAAAAUGGUUUAGGUUGACCCGCACUGCAGCAGUCAGUGUGAAAACCCCUGGGUGCAUGCCCUCCAGGUUGCUCACAGAACUUUGGGGUAAUUAUACUUAUUAACCACAAUGCAUUUUUUAACUUCUUUUUGUAAUCUAGUAAGUGGAUAUUGUUUAAGCGUUUCUUCCCUUUUAGCCCAAACAGUCAGAAAAUAUAGCAUACCCCCUUAGACACCCACAGCCACAUUUUCUUGUUGGAAUUCUGACUUUGCUCAUAAAACUCACUGUGCAGAUUAAACAUACACCCAGGUUUUUAUUUACCUGUAAAAGUGUGGAAAGAAUCCUUUAAAAAUAAUAGCCUUAUUUUUUUGAAAGCCGGUUCUUAAGCAGUGCCUCUCUAAAGAAGUGCUCUGCAUAUUCCAGGUAGUUUGCAUUUGUCCAGUUAAUAUUUCCCGUAUAAUACAUUCACACUACUUAUUCAGAAGUGUCCUAUAACCUAUUUGGACCCUCUUCAUUCGGGAUGCUGUCUUGAACUCGACAGGCCAGACUGAGCAAUGAUCUCAACAGGUGACAGAGGAUGAGCUGGGCUGUCUGCUAUGUGUGGUUGACUUCUUGCAAUGAAUGCAAGGGCCAAAGGACCUAUUUUUACCUGGGAUACCCUUUUGCAUUUCAGUUGUCUGUUAGUUGCACGCACAUUCAGGGGCGUAGCAAGGCUGGAGUGGGCCCAGAGACAAGAUUUUAAAAUGCACCCCCCCCACUAAAGCUCAGCUCAUGAAGUAAAGAAAUCUUAAAUGAGGCUGAAUAGUGGUAACAAAAAGCAUAGUAAAUUUUUAUUUAUAUAUAACUCCUAUGUGCCACAAUCAUCCUAAAUUAUUUUAAAAAUGCAAGUCAUUUAAUAAUAAUUUAGUAAUAGAGAAAGACAUGCUGUUCUGGUAGCUCCAGCUCUUAACACUCACAUCCAUUUCACAGGAUGAAUACAACUGAAGGAAGCCCGGGUGGGUGCACAGCUGGAGGAGUCAGUCAUGUGACUUGCCUCUGGUGGCCCCCCUAGGCAGUGGGUCCCCAGACAACUGUCUCCCUUUGCCCUAUUAUAGUUACGCCCCUGCACACAUUAACAUGUUUAUUGGACAUUCCCUUAUAGUCAGCUCUAGUGAUAUGUUGGCAGAGAGCUGAGGACAUUCUGAGGGGCCCUAUCUGCAGUACAAAUGCAUUUUGAUUUUAUACCACUUUAUCUGUCAUGGCUUCCCCCAAAGCUUCCUCAAAUUGUUAAUUUGGGGAGAAUGCUGAGAAUUUCCCACUGUAGAGUUCUAGCGUCACUUUAGAGAGCUGCAGUUCCCAAUAGUCCCUGCGAAGAUGGUUUCAUCUGUGGUGUGACUAUGCCCAGAGUAUGCCUGAGUCAUUCAGACAAAUUAUUUUGAAAGCAUAGAGGCAGAACAAGACUAGAGUGACACACAGCCCAAACUUAUGGUAAUAUUGACAGCUGCCAUUGACCAUGAUUAUAGGGGGGUGAAUGGUGUCAUAACCUUUGGCAUCUCUUUGGUGAUAAUUUUAUAUACCUUGCAUUGGAAACUUAAGUUGUAAAGUGGUUCCGUUUUAGACCAGAAGUGCCAACAAGGACUAUGAUGGAGUGCAAUUCUAGUCUUUUUCUAUCUGUGUCUGAAAGUACUAAAUGGAGCUCAUGAUCUGCUUAGCCCAGGAAAGCUUCUAUGAAACAGGACAAGCAAACAGGCUUGUAUGAAACAAGACAAACAAACAAACAGGGAAUCAGGGCUAAGGGAAGCUUGUGCCCUGAUUCAAAGUCUUUCUGUUUGACUUACUUUUAUCUGUGUGCAUUUGUGCACGUACACCUGAAAAGGGAUAGAAACAGCAGCAACUCUUCUGUGAUGGAAUGUUAUUUUGCUUUAAGAUGGGCAGGACUUUUAGACUUAGUGUGCACAGUCAUAGCCAUGGAGUAGAUUCAACUUUAUGUGGUCUGCAGUAUGGCUGCGACUUAACGUGGGGAAAAUCUUGUCUUAGGGCAGUGUGCUGGACCAGCUCAGGUAUGUCUAAUCCAGUUAUCUUCACAGUUUUUCAAGUGGAGGCAACUUUGGCAAAAAGCUUUCCGUGUGGAACUGUUUUGUGCCAACCUCUGCAAAUGCUGUGCUUUUCCCAGUGAGGGGAGGAACCCAAGCAAAACAGAGGUCUGUAAAGCCCCACUCCGUUUUAGAGUGUGUGCACAGACUGCUGGGCAAUGUAAUCCUUCUCAGCUCUUUCCCUAUGAACUCUUUGGGGAAAGCAUUGGGAAGGACUACACUUCCCACUGUCCCAUGCACACUUUCUAAGAGGAUGCUGGGACUUGAGAGGGCUCCAUUUCACUUGGAGGAGCUGCACCAGUGCUGGGGAAACUGCAGCAUUGUAUGUACAGUUGCUCAUGGGGCCAGAGCAGCUGUGCAGAGUAUUGGCUUUGGCCGAAGCUUUGCACAGGCCUCAUAAACAAUUAGUCAGGGAGUUGCCAUUGGGGUUAAUGGCAACUGCUCCUGGCUCCUGGACCUUGCAGUGAGGAGGAUUGGUCUGUCUGCCUGCAGGCAACAUGGCUGAUUUUCAAUUAAUGGGUAAGUGACACAAAAUAAUAGCUUACAGAUUGUGAAAUCUUCGCUCUUAUGGAGCGAGUGGGCAGAUUUUUUGUUUUAUUUUAUUUGUAUGGUCCAAGGAAGAUUACCGGGAUGAGUAAUUAAUUGUAUAGAUUGAUUGCACUCCAAAUUAGGACUUUGCUGCCUGGCCCUGGUCUGGCACAGGCUCUGACCGAUGAACAUUUUCACAUGUAAGCUGAAAUCAUAAAGGUGAUCUCUCAUGCUGUUUGUGUUGUGGUUAAUCAAAAAAGGAAGUGGAACAGAGGCAUUUAGAAUGCAACUAAGCCUUCUGGCCAAGUGUGUGUUUAUUUUCAUAUUGCAAAUGGAUUGAAGCAAGAAGCACUUUAAGCCUCAUGUGUGAAAAUGCCCGGGUAGUCUGUGUGAUUUGCCUUGUAAUGGGGUCCUUUUAUUCUGUUCCAGAAAAUGACAUAUUUCCAACCUGAUCACAAAUCCCAACUAAAAAUUUAGUCAGCACUCCACACAACGUUCAUUGGGUAACAUGAUGCAUAGUGUUAUGGAAUCAAAAUGCUGUGUGGCACUGGGGCUGCUGUGGACUUCAAAGGUAGAGAUGCAGAAGCAACAUUUCCAGAGGUUUCUCCAUUGUCACAAAUCAGGCCACCUGCAGAGACACUGCUUCUACAACUGCUGCUUCAAAACAGCGUCAGGGCUGCCUUUGGAAUCUGCAGGUGUCCUGGCAUGGUGUUAUGGCUCCAUAACACUGCGCAUAAUGUUAGCCAGUAGGUCAUGCAUGUACUUAGAGCCAUCUGGCUGACAAUCUGUGAAAGAUCCACGUCUUAUCAUUAUUACUUUUAUUCUAACUUGAAAAAGACAUGACUGUUUCAUGGGGGGUUGUUGACCAGACGGCACUACGAAUGUACUCAGUGUACUGAAUGUUGUGUGGACUGGUAGCUAAAUCUCUAGUUGGAGUUUUUGCUGAAGUUGGAAUAAAUCACUGUCUGGAAGAGCUCUCACAUUCAUUCUCCACAAAAUGAUACUUUAGUGUUACUAAUGGCUCCAUCCAUUUUUCUUCCAGAAUCUACUUCUACUACUAUUUUCUUUAAUUUAGCACUACGUUUAUUUCAGAUUUUUAUUCUAGAACAAACAAUGUAGAAAGUGAAGAAUUUCCAGAAUUAAAAAUGGUAAACUAGAAGAUUUUUUUUUAUGAUCAUAACUUAAGUGACAAGUGUUCAUGUUUAAUCUUAAUCAACAUUACUCAAGACAGCUGCUUGUUCCAGAAUGUAACUGAAAUAAUAAAGAAAUAACUCUUCUUCUGGAGAAAGGAUUGAAGAACUGGUUUUUGGGACAAGGGAGUGGCUGAAAACAAUGCCUCUUCCAUCCUUUUGUAAACGCCUCAGCAGUAUGUGUAUUAGGGAACUCUUAUUUGCUAGUUUACUGGCAUAACUUGCUUCUUUAUCCAGAUGCUAAGUAGAUUUCAUACCCAUCACUCUCCCUAUAACCACUGGUAAAGAGGCAUUUCCUCUCUAAGCAGAGUUGCCAGGGUGUCCUUUAUUUUACAGAAUGCCAGCUCUACAGAAUACAAUGGAUGCCACCUCCUACUUUUUCUAUUCCACUCACUUCUCUGACUGUUUAUAGGAUUAGCUCCACCACAUGCUUUGUGUUUUGCUGUUGGAUCUGGCAGCCUUACUCUUAGAAACCUUGCACAGCCACCCACCACCUCCUUGAAUCACUGACUUAAAAUAGGCUCUUGGAAUCUAUUGCUGUUCUUCAACUUCAUCAGAGAGGGUGUUUGUUUGUUUCCUUUAAUGAGGGGGAAAUAGUUAAAAUCAGGGCUUCCCUUGCUUAGAAAAGGAAGUUUUCUAUGUGAAGCUGUCUUAUGAUGGGUUAGUUCAGACAUCACAUGGAGCCUUGGUUAGAGCUGGGCUCUAUAUGACGUCCCUGAGCUCAGCAAUAUGCACUCCCCCAACAUCCCCACUUGAGCAUCUGCUUCCUAGCUAAGUUAAAAUAAGCCACAAUUGGUCAUGUCGUCUAAACAUAUCAAUAUCAGCUAACCUACUUGCUUCAAAUAACCUGAGGUCUAUAUCUUAGUUCAAACCUUGGGUGCAGAGGUUCUAAUUGAGCUUCUGCGUGAUGUCUGAACCAGUCCACUGAGCAGACUGAACCAGCUCACGUAGCUCUCCAGGAUUUUGGACAGGGGUCUUCCCCAAGCCUACUUAGAGAUGCCAGGGAUUGCACUCAAGACCUUCUGUAUAGAAAGCAUGUGCUCUACCGCUGUGUUGCAAUUCCUCCGCUUAAAAAUAAUGGAAAGCAGGACAAUGUGGACACUAAUUUUUAUGGUUUUUGUAUUGUAUGGAAUACAUACAUUAAAAAUGGGAUACUGUAGUAUGUGUGCAGAAGACUAAAAAGCAUUAUCAGAAGCAGCACCCUUGAGAUAAUCUGCUGUCUAUCUAAAUUGGGUAAUUCUAUUUCAUUUUUUAAAUAUUUCAUAUUUUUUUAAAAAAAUCAGAUCUGCAAUAUUUAACUGUUUAAUAUAUUCCAUUAGGAAAAUGAUAGCAUACGUUUGAGAGAGUAAAGCGUUUUCUCCUCUCCCCCAACGCUACCCCCGUCAUGGCUCCUGUGAUUUUACCACAAAUUGGUUAUCUGUCUUUCAUGUCACAGUUAAAAAGCAUUUGAAGCAAAUGGGGGGGGGAGGUGGGGGGGGCAGCUUUAGAGAGAUGAGAAAUGCUGGCAAUACUAUUGGGAGUCUAUUGGGCCCGAAUCGAAGGCCUGGUUUAAAAUAACACGGGGAUGUAUAAUCUCUUGGCUCUAAUGCUGUUACAUAAUAUUGUCAGCAUUUCGUUUUAGAGAAGAAUUGUGUCUGGUGAGGAUGAAGCCUCAAUAAGAGGCUUUAGCCAGUUGGCUUCUUCAUUCAUCUGGCCUGCUUAUCUGCCGUCCUCACCAUGAACUCUGCCUUGCUGCAGAAUUGCAGGGUAUCCCCUAUCAUUCUGUGUCUGGUGUGCAUGCAAACAUCUUCCAACUUUCAAAAUCCAUUGAGUGUGUGUGUGUGUGUGUGUGUGUGUGUGUGGUGGCGGCAAGGACCUAAGCAGAGUAUGGAGAUUACUAAAAAGCCUUACUUAAAUAUAAUGUGAAAAUUAGUCCUUUGAUUUAUUUCUUCUGCUCUAAAGAGGGCUCAGAAAAGCAAUUUGCUAGUAGCAGAUGGCGAGUUCAUAUGCACUCUCUCUGACUGUACAAUCUCUGGGUAAUUUAUUUUACAUUGACACGUUUUUAAUGCACGGAUGUCUGUUUCCUUAAUUGCUUUGCACGUGUGUUUUCAUUUGGUUUGCAAAUGGAGAGUUACCAUUUGCACACUAUUAAGUCACUGAACUUGAUAGUGCUUUGUUUGCACCCUAGUCAGUGAAGAAGAGUCAAUAUAAUGGAAAACAUGCAUUGUCAGUUUGAGGCAGUUUAAUUCUGUUAUGGCAGGAGUUUAGGUGGGUUACUUGAGUCCUGGAUGGCAAAGUAUAUGCAGUCUUCAUUAAGAUGCCUACCACUUGGUUUUGGGUCAAAGUUUUUAUUAUUGUUUACUUUUGGUGUGGGUGGGGGGGAUAAAAAAGGGGGAAAGUUUUAAAAAGAGGGUUUUUAAAAAAAACAUAUUUCUUAAUUUCCAUAACUAUCCCCAUACUUUCCACCUUCCUUUGGAGAAGAUUAGCUUUCUUUACCUCGGAAGAUGUGUAGCUUCCUAAAGAAAGUUCACUUGUUUGUUUUAGCACUUUUAGAUCUGUUUUUUAAAUCUCAGGUUAGACAAUCAAGAGUUCAUUAUAGGAUGGGCAACUUCCCCUUGCUUAUUUAUUGCAGAGCUGAAUAAAUGUGAGUCGGGGGGAAUCCUCAGGCAAAUUCUCUGUGCUUUGUUUUGCUAGCUGAAUUUGAAUUAUUAACAUUAUUAAUUAUGGAUAGUCUUGAAAUUUGGACUCCAAACCUUUCAACAUUUUGGGAAUGGAAAUGGAGACACGCCUGGGCAGGGGCUCUUCCAGAGGGUGAUAUACCCAAAUGACAUUAGGAGAUAAAAUGAGAAAUCCACAUGACAUUCAAGGACAGACGUCAUGUAAUAUUCCUAAUACUGUAUGAGAGCAAGCCACCUAAUGGCGCAGCAGGGAAGCAACCUGCCUAGAGAGCAUGAGGCUGUUGGUUUGAAUCCCUGUUGGUAUGUUUCUCAGAUUAUGGGAAACACCUGUAUCGGGUAGAAGCGAUAUAGGAAGGUGCUGAAAGGCAUCAUUUCAUACUGCAUGGGAGAAGGCAAUGAUAAAUCUCUCCUGUAUUCUACAAAGAAAGCCACAUUGCUCUGUGGUUGCCAGGAGUUGACACCAACUCAACAGCACAACCUUUCCCUUUCUGUUCCAUAUGAGAGCAAUCAGUGAAAAAGCCAUGUUUUUUUCCAAACUCUUUUUAUUCUACCUUGGUGGGGAAAGGCCUUUUCACAGAAUGCUGCAGAUUGCAACAGAUGGCAUUAAGAAUAUUACAUGGUGUCCUUGAACACUGUGUGGAAUUCUCAUUUUAUCUCCUCUCAUAAUUUGUAAUGAAGCUGGAAUAUGUUGCUGUUUGGAACAGUCUCUUUAGUUCUGUAAGUGGAAGGUGUUUCUGCUCAUGCAAGAAGAGAGGGCUGAUUCUCCCUGAUUCCCCAUUUCCUUGGCUGCUUGUUGGACCCUCCAAAAUGAAUAAGUGAAAAUCACCCCUUGUCCAAGCAGGACAUCUUCCAUUCACAGAACUGCUAGUCAAGAUGCUGUCCAUUGCUGAAGGCUCUUCACUACCUGCUGUAUGAUGCUGUCAUUUACUCUGUAGCAAUCUGUCCUCAGCUGACUUUAAAUGCCAAGAGGGCAUUUGUUUAUUAUCCUAUGAUAUGUUAUGAACAAAUAUACACACCAAACUCUGGCCCCAUUUGGACAUAACAGGAAACUGGAGUUGAAGGGGCCUGAGGUUGAAUUUAUUAUACAUCUGAAUGUGUGCAACCACAUUUGGUUGCACAAAAACCAAGACACAAAAACGACCCAAGGUUUCCCUCCACAAACUCCAAUUUGAAUCUUCAGUUUGUAGGGGAUUUUGCUGCUCCUACCUGAGGUUUGCGCUAGCUGUGAUUGGCUGACAGGGCUGUCCUUCAUUCCAUAAGGAAGCCCAUGCAGCCAGUUCUCCCUCCUCUCUGCAGCCUCCCUGACUGCAGUUUGGGUCCUACACAUGCAGAUGUUUCUGUAAUCUGUUUGAGUUGCAACAGGCCUAAUAUCAAACAGCCCACCUCCCAUCAUCUGCUGAUCAGCACUGGCAAAGUGGUGUCUGUUCAGCAACAGAUAUUCUUUCUCAUAGCAGCUACUGUGUGUGUAUGGAUCUUUAUAUUGAGGGCUCUCUUGAUACUAUAUUAUGAAAUGUGUUAAUUUGAGGGCGGGGGGAGCUGUCAAAAUUGUACAAGAAGUCUAAAAUGAAUCAUUAAACUCCCUCAGAAAAACAAUCUGUUCUUUACCUAGUGCAUCAGUUGUAUGAGCACAACUUGUGACUAUUUGGUUUGGAUGUCAUAGCUAUUUGUGAAACGAUCACUGACCUUUGAGGAGGGGGAAGAAAAAUCUCUUUGUUGUGGAAAGGCUGAGAGAGUAAGUUCAGGUCUAGAGAGGCAAUUCCCUUGGUGCCCUUGGUGCAUAAGGUUUGUGUUUGGCUUUGACAUUUUUGGGUUGCCUUGAUAAGUUGCUUAAACCUCUUGAGCUCUGGCCGAGGACAUCUAGUUGGCACUGCGGAGGCCUCCAAACAGGGAUGUUCAUCAAAAGACGCAAUCUGCCAGGUUAAUGAGCAUUGCAGCUGAGAUGAGGUAUUUCAUAUUUAAAGCACUUCACAUGUAUUAUCUUUAUGCAGUCCUUACAAGAGGGGCAGCACAAGGCUUUAGGAAGGAAGAGAUUCCUCCAGGAGGUAAAGCCAGAGGCACUUUCCUCCCAGCAGCAGAGGUUUAGCAUUGCAGCCAGCAAAACUGCUACAGUAACUGUGGAGGCUGCAGAGAUGUAGGGAACUUAUAGGCACAUUUUGGGCACAGUAGUCACCUACUUCCCUGGUUGGUUGUUGGGAGGGACAGAGAUGCUUUGGGUCUUGAUCUCUUCUAAUGACAGUGUUUGCUUCUUAUUCCAAUCCACUAAUCCUUUGGCAGUAAAAUCUAAAACACUAACGUGCGAAUUAUUAUUUCUCAAUAGGCUAUUUCAGCAUUAUACAAACAUGAACAAGUCUGUUGUAACAGUCCCCAACUACCCACAAGGCCAUUGUAGGUUCCUGGAGGUGAAUUAAAAAGCAUUGUCUGCCGUCUGAUACAAACACCUGCCUUUUAUGUUACAUGUGGUGAGGAGUUCUUGGGAGCAUCUUCACACAGCAAAGCUGCCUCCGCCAUCUUCAUCAUGUAUGCAGAGGAUUCGACUACUUUGAAUAAGGAUAAAAUCAUUUUCUGUGUCCAGAUAAACUCUUAUUUUACACCACAACUGUUUGUAAAAAUAUAUUUUGAUUCUUA
Molecule: RNA transcript, 11461 nt
Organism: Hemicordylus capensis (graceful crag lizard)
Lineage: Eukaryota; Metazoa; Chordata; Lepidosauria; Squamata; Cordylidae
Gene: TMEM86A
Gene name: transmembrane protein 86A
Exons: 4
Source: RefSeq, a predicted model, not a curated record